Molecule: ribosomal RNA, 460 nt
Filed under: uncultured bacterium
Lineage: Bacteria
Description: partial 16S ribosomal RNA
Rfam family: Bacterial small subunit ribosomal RNA
Source: RNAcentral
CCUACGGGGGGCUGCAGUGAGGAAUAUUGGUCAAUGGACGAGAGUCUGAACCAGCCAAGUAGCGUGAAGGAUGACUGCCCUAUGGGUUGUAAACUUCUUUUAUAUGGGAAUAAUAUGUUCCACGUGUGGGAUUUUGUAUGUACCAUAUGAAUAAGGAUCGGCUAACUCCGUGCCAGCAGCCGCGGUAAUACGGAGGAUCCGAGCGUUAUCCGGAUUUAUUGGGUUUAAAGGGAGCGUAGGUGGAUUGUUAAGUCAGUUGUGAAAGUUUGCGGCUCAACCGUAAAAUUGCAGUUGAAACUGGCAGACGUGAGUACAGUAGAGGUAGGCGGAAUUCGUGGUGUAGCGGUGAAAUGCUUAGAUAUCACGAAGAACUCCGAUUGCGAAGGCAGUUCACUGGACUGCAACUGACGCUGAGGCACGAAAGUGUGGGUAUCAAACAGGAUUAGAUACCCCAGUAGUC